UGAGGAAUAUUGGUCAAUGGGCGGGAGCCUGAACCAGCCAAGCCGCGUGAGGGAGGAAGGCCCUAUGGGUCGUAAACCUCUUUUGUCAGGGAACAAAAGCGAGUAUGUAUACUAGUCUGAGUGUACCUGAAGAAAAAGCAUCGGCUAACUCCGUGCCAGCAGCCGCGGUAAUACGGAGGAUGCGAGCGUUAUCCGGAUUUAUUGGGUUUAAAGGGUGCGUAGGCGGCGGUGCAAGUCAGCGGUAAAAGCCCGGGGCUCAACCCCGGCGAGCCGUUGAAACUGCAGUGCUAGAGAAGGCGAGAGGCACGCGGAAUGCGCAGUGUAGCGGUGAAAUGCUUAGAUAUUGCGCAGAACUCCGAUUGCGAAGGCAGCGUACUGGCGCCUGACUGACGCUGAGGCACGAAAGCGUGGGGAUCGAACAGGAUUAGAUACCC
This 434-nucleotide ribosomal RNA is filed under the name uncultured bacterium. Its description in RNAcentral is "bacterial SSU rRNA". It matches the Rfam family "Bacterial small subunit ribosomal RNA", at positions 355 to 787 of the family's 1533-position model. The record is from RNAcentral.